This 1356-nucleotide ribosomal RNA is filed under the name metagenome. RNAcentral describes it as "SSU rRNA". It matches the Rfam family "Eukaryotic small subunit ribosomal RNA", at positions 3 to 1370 of the family's 1831-position model. The record is from RNAcentral.
CCUGGUUGAUCCUGCCAGUAGUCAUAUGCUUGUCUCAAAGAUUAAGCCAUGCAUGUCUAAGUAUAAGCGAGUAUACUGCGAAACUGCGAAUGGCUCACUAAAUCAGUUAUGGUUUAUUUGAUGGUACCUUGCUACUUGGAUAACCGUAGUAAUUCUAGAGCUAAUACAUGCAGGAGCUCCCGACUUCGGAAGGGAUGUAUUUAUUAGAUAAGAAACCAAACCGGUCUCCGGUUGUGUGCUGAGUCAUAAUAACUGCUCGAAUCGCACGGCUCUACGCUGGCGAUGGUUCAUUCAAAUUUCUGCCCUAUCAGCUUUCGAUGGUAGGAUAGAGGCCUACCAUGGCGUUAACGGGUAACGGAGAAUUAGGGUUCGAUUCCGGAGAGGGAGCCCGAGAAAUGGCUACCACAUCCAAGGAAGGCAGCAGGCGCGUAAAUUGCCCGAAUCCUGACACAGGGAGGUAGUGACAAGAAAUAACAAUACAGGGCUCUUCGAGUCUUGUAAUUGGAAUGAGUACAAUUUACAUCUCUUCACGAGGAUCAAUUGGAGGGCAAGUCUGGUGCCAGCAGCCGCGGUAAUUCCAGCUCCAAUAGCGUAUACUAAAGUUGUUGCAGUUAAAACGCUCGUAGUCGGAUUUCGGGGCGGGCCCGCCGGUCUGCCGAUGGGUAUGCACUGGCGGGCGCGUCCUUCCUCCCGGAGACGGCUGCUACUCUUAACUGAGCGGUGGCCGGAGACGGGAUAUUUACUUUGAAAAAAUCAGAGUGUUUCAAGCAGGCAGUCGCUCUUGCAUGGAUUAGCAUGGGAUAAUGAAAUAGGACUCUGGUGCUAUUUUGUUGGUUUCGAGCACCGGAGUAAUGAUUAACAGGGACAGUCAGGGGCACUCGUAUUCCGCCGAGAGAGGUGAAAUUCUCAGACCAGCGGAAGACGAACCACUGCGAAAGCAUUUGCCAGGGAUGUUUUCACUGAUCAAGAACGAAAGUUAGGGGAUCGAAGACGAUCAGAUACCGUCGUAGUCUUAACCAUAAACCAUGCCGACUAGGGAUUGGAGGAUGUUCCAUUUGUGACUCCUUCAGCACCUUUCGGGAAACUAAAGUCUUUGGGUUCCGGGGGGAGUAUGGUCGCAAGGCUGAAACUUAAAGGAAUUGACGGAAGGGCACCACCAGGAGUGGAGCCUGCGGCUAAUUUGACCCAACACGGGGAAACUUACCAGGUCCAGACAUUGUGAGGAUUGACAGAUUGAGAGCUCUUUCUUGAUUCGAUGGGUGGUGGUGCAUGGCCGUUCUUAGUUGGUGGAGUGAUUUGUCUGGUUAAUUCCGUUAACGAACGAGACCGCAGCCUGCUAAAUAGCGUGCCGAACCC